UCNUACGGGAGGCAGCANUUNUNAAUCNUGCGCAANGGUCGAAAGCCUGACGCAGCCAGCCGCGUGGAGGAAGACACCUCUAUGGGGCGUAAACUCCUNUNGUGUGAGAAGAAGGUUNUGCAGUGCAGGGUUUGACGGUAUCCCACGAAUAAGCCCCGGCUAACUCCGUGCCAGCAGCCGCGGUAAUACGGAGGGUGCAAGCGUUGUCCGGAAUCUUUGGGGGUAAAGGGUGGGUAGGCGGGAUUGUAAGUCAGAGGUGAAAGGCCACGGCUCAACCGUGGGAUUCCCUUUGAUUGCAGUUCUUGAGUCCCGGAGAGGUAGUUGGAAUUCGUGGUGUAGCGGUGAAAUGGGUAGAUAUCACGAGGAACCCCCGAGGGGAAAGCGGACUCUUGGACGGGUACUGACGGUAAGGCAGGAAAGGGUGGGGAGCAAACCGGAUUAGAUACCCUGGUAGUCCCCCCCGUAAACGAUGGAUGNUUGGUGUUGCGUUCUUCACGACNUCAGCGCCAGCUAACNCNACNC
Molecule: ribosomal RNA, 522 nt
Filed under: uncultured bacterium
Lineage: Bacteria
Description: partial 16S ribosomal RNA
Rfam family: Bacterial small subunit ribosomal RNA
Source: RNAcentral